Oncorhynchus tshawytscha (Chinook salmon) is the source of this 4591-nucleotide long non-coding RNA. RefSeq lists it as uncharacterized. The record is from RefSeq and is a predicted model, not a curated record. NCBI's taxonomy places the organism in Eukaryota, Metazoa, Chordata, Actinopteri, Salmoniformes, Salmonidae. The transcript is spliced from 4 exons.
CACACACACAGAGAGUCAUGAGUCUCUCUGCACUGGUCCAAUCACUGCUCAGUGCUGUCUGAGUCCAGCGCUCUCUUUUUAAAUCCCCCUCUCUGUGGUGAAUCAGCACUCGCAGCGCAACCCUCCGGUGAUACAGCAAGUGGUAGAGAAGUCUGCUGAAACAGCCUACACAUUUUCCGGCUGUGAGUGGGGCCUUCAUGGAUUCCCCGUACAAUGGCAACACGUCCCUCCAGACCUCCACCUCCAACCUCAACGCCAACUUCUCCCGGCCGACCGAGGCGGAAGAGGAGGGCAAGUACUCCAGCGACGCCAUCUGGCUUUGGGUGGCCGUCAUUGCAACCAUCGGCAACAUAGUAGUGGUAGCAGUGGUUUGCGCCUGUGCCUUCUAAGACCCGUUAGUUGCAAGCACACAGCCGAAACAUCCCCCUUGCCCCGUCUUUCCUCCACUUGAACCUAUCCCCUGUAUUCAUUUUACUUUUGUAAGUGUCCAUCCAUAAUAUUAAAGCCAAGGCCCCGUUCUGAGGAUCAACGGAAUAUGAUAGUGUAAAUAUAGGGACUGGUUUAACUGAUGUUCUCUAGGACUAGGAAUGAGAGAAACCAUCCUCCGUAGUUACCAUACUGUAUCUUACCUUAAGCCAGUGUCUCACACUGUAAACAAACAAAAAAUCAUGAGAAACGGUGAAGUGAGCAGAUGUGGGCUGUGCCUUUUUAUAAUGAACAUGGUCAAUUAGUUCAGGAAGUGGGCAAUAUAUAAAGCAGCUGAGUGAGCCUCCCUUCUGCUUACCACCAGAGGUCAGCCUAAAGGAUUAUGGAAGUGUACAGCUGUGAGAUCCCCUCUGCCUGUGAACCUGAACAGAACACCACACCAUAUAUCUUUGUCUUGUUGAUGUCAUGUGACUGUUUGUCUGGAAUGGAUGUGUUGAUGCUGCUGUCUUGGUCCAGUUCUCUCUUGAAAUUUUUUUUUAAAUUUUUUAAUCUCCACGAGACUAACCUAGUUAAAUAAGGGUGAAAUAAAUAAUCUGCAGUUCUCGUUGUGGCUGGCCAUCGUCUCGGAGACCAGUGGAGAGAUAUGUGACAGAUGGUGGCUGGUAGUGGGGCAGAGGGGACAGCGGAGGGGCCCAGGGCAGGCUUGGCAGUGCCCCCAGUACCUGGUGUUCUUUCCUGUGACUGCUACACCGCUGCACUACCAUUACUGCUCUGUCCUGUCCUCAUCAGCCUGUCAGUGAUAGAAAUCUCCCCAAGCACUUUAUAAAGCGCAAUAAAGUGGGGAGUUUUCUUCCAUUUUAACUGCAUUGUUCUGCAGUGGCUGUAGACCUGUGCCAGUUUAACUAUGCAGUGAAGGCAUCCUAUUGGGCACACACUGGUUGAAUCAAUGUUGUUUCCACGUCAUUUCAAUGAAACGACGUUGAACCAACAUGGAAUAGAUGUCGAAUUGCCGUCAGUGGGAUGGCAGUGGCUCAUGUUUAUGAGUGAGACAAAUGUAUAGAAACACAGUAUCACCCACAAGCCAAAUGAGUGAAUUAAGUUGUCAGCACAAAUCAGAUGUUAUACCACCCCUGCUGACAUUAUCUGAAGUUACGGAACCACCAAUUACAUCACACUAAAUCAUUGAGCCGCCCACCAUUACCAGACCACUGCUACAACAGCCUCAAGCUGUAGAGCUAGCAGUCAAAUGAGUUCUCUCGUCAUAAGAAACCCCAUUGCUGUUAACGCUCAUUUUUUAGUUGCUGUGCCAGGCAGUCAGAAUCUCACAUUCGCCUCAGAAUGUCUCUCAGUAGACUAGUGUGUGUAGGUGGCAGCAGCCCCAGUAGUUCUGUGCUGUGCUGUCUCCCAUGCACCCAGUGGAGUCGGGCCACAGACUUGUCAAACAGCAGGGCUUUAAUGAGAUGUAAUGCCUCUCUCUCUCUCUCUUUCCUAAAGCGAACACUGACCUCCCGUUGCGCUGUGGUGAUCAGAACAGAGCUGAUCCCUGCUGCACUCAGCUGCUCUGAACAAAGAUAGUGCUUCAAGUGCAUUUUUAGAGUGUGACUUCCUCAUUUAAUCAGCACUUGUUGACAGAGAGAAAGGGGAAGGAGAGAGGAGCGGACGAGAGGAGUGGCUGCAUGGGAAUUGAUUUUUAACAGCCAACUUCCAUGUCAUCUCUGAAAUACAAAACUUUUUUUGAAGUUGAAUGGAGAAUUCCAUUAUUUUUAUUGAAACCAACGAAGUGGAAUAAAAAGUUUGAAAAUGGAGAGCUUUAGGAUCAAAGGCCUGGCUGAGCCAUCACUUCACACAGCUAAUUGCCCUGAUCUCACUGUACAGUAGAGUUAAUGAAAACAAGAGACCGAUUCAUCAUGGCAUCUCUGAGCGGUCCUUUUCAGGGUCCUUAGAGACCUUAGCCAGAAACAUGCAGGAACAUUAAUCUGUUGUCUGUUAAAAUAAACAACAACAAUCGCACUGAAUGGGGUCUUCAUAAGUAACUGCUGGCAAUAACUCAAGAUGAAGCUAACAAGUUAGAAUUAUACAUCCCCACUAUAUGUAGUUACUUUAAUACUGUAACUAUUCUGAAGCCAAAUUCAUAUGGACUAGGUGAGGAAUCCCAGUUAGCUAUAAUAGGAAUUUCUUCUACCCUUGUAUCGGCUGUGUGCUUUGACAUGGGACUGGUUAAGGCUCAGGUGCCCACUGUCUACGGCUCGAAUUAUGUGCCUGAACUGACUAACACAACUCCUACCCGUCAACUGCUUAUUGACCAUGGAUGCCCCUUGACCACCAUGGAUGAUGGUCCUCCUACACACCACAAAAGGUCAUCACAGCCUCAAGUCCAGAGCACCAGACCGUGCUUUCUGCAUUGGCACUGGCCUCUGACCCGAGGCAGGGCACCUCAUGCCCACAUGCCUCUUCCUUCCCAGGCAACAAGAAAUAGUCCGGUCGUUGCUGGGUGAAAUGGACAAGUCACUCCUACGAGAGGAGAACUGUAAGAGCAAGGAGCAGCUGGACUCCCAGGAAUUUUCCAUCCUUCCUCGGCCUCCAGGAAUAUAUAUGCUAAUUAAAGCUGACUUCCUAUAUCCUGAGUACAGCAGAGACAGUAUGGUUGACUAGGGACUGUGACUUUAUAAAAGCACCCAGAGGAAACCCAUAAAGACUACAUGGAGGCUGGGAGGAAUAUUGUGUAUAGGUGGGACUUGAGAGGUGACAGUCACAGACAUCAUAUUUAUAACUUCAACAAAUGAUACCAUAUCUUAUUCAAGGUUACUUGUAGUUAACUUGAUUUGGAAUGUGCUGUGACCCAUGACACUCAAAGGACCUAGAAAGUGAAACCACACUAUGUCCAUCCUCCUGGAGCCCUGUAUGUCUUUGUUUUGAAAUGGAUUUCUGACAGCGAUUCACAUACUCAUUGCAAUGAAUGGAUGGAUAUUCAUCGACUUCCUUGACUCUGAAGACUUGGAUUCUACAUUUCUGUGCAUCCAGUUGCAGUGUUGUACGUUCUGAUACCUCCCUGUAGGUGUCAGGGUUACUGCUAUGAAAUACUGAUUGACAGAAAGGCUGUUUUAGUUCAAUUAAUUCACAAUGUUAAUUCACAAAAGCGUCCUAUAACAAUUACUUCAUACAAAAUACUGCACAGAGUCGUGUCACUGCAAUUGUUUUACAAUUACAUUUCUAGAGGGGAGGGGAACACUUACUGUCUUGACUUUCCAUAAAUGUAUGACCUACUUUGAAAAGAUAUCUUUAAAAAAACAGGAAAUCUAACAUGUGGGGGUUUUCUUUUAAUUUCAGUAUAUGUAUAAGCAUGGUUGCAGUGUACAGUAUAAACACUAGGGGGUUUAUUGACACCAUUUAUAUUUUUAACAUGAUAUUUGAGGCUCAUUAUUAUUUUGUUCCCAUGCUAGAUUAACCAAAACAUGCGCACACACGCAUUGUGAAACGUGGCUUGCAUUACAGGAGCCAGGAAUCAAUACGUGUACUGUAUAAGGAUAAUGGAUGUGUACACGUCAGUAAAUUAGACCAGCUCUGUUGUUCAUUUGCUCCUCACUACCAGUAGUCCCAACAUCCAAGCCGCGUGUGCAUGCUCAUUGCAAAGACGUCUUAAUAUGGAAAACACUUAGACGCAGCUGGUGCGAGACCACAUGACAGUUCGAACCAGGAUCAUUUUCUUGUCUUUUCGAAUUUCUAUUGUGAUAUUUUCAUUUAGUAUGAGCUUACUGAGCUUGCUUGCAUGUAUUGGGUUUACUUCCGUCCCGACAUAUUGUUAGUCGACAACUCUGCAAGCUGCGUUCCCGUAAGGAAUAAAUCAUGUAAUAAUCAUGACAUUAUGGAAUAUUGAUUGGAGGAUUCAUUACUUGGUACAUGGAGAAAUAUGUAGAACUAAUGUGGAAUAUUUUUUUUGUCAACUUUUUAUUGAUCAUGUACAUAUUUCCAAUGUUUUAGCAAUUGUCAGUGCAGAAACAUCGCUGCCAAAGUCUUGAUGUGUUUUUUUUUACACACUCUUGCAAGUGAACAGAAAAGCUUAGAAGUAAACAUGUUUUUACCUACAUAAUCAAAUCUAUGUCGUCUGUAAACCUCAUGUUUUUCCAUCCUGUUUCAUUCAAUUAAAGUGAUAAGAAUGUGAAAAUGA